RNAcentral lists this ribosomal RNA (393 nucleotides) under uncultured bacterium. Its description in RNAcentral is "bacterial SSU rRNA". It matches the Rfam family "Bacterial small subunit ribosomal RNA", at positions 505 to 898 of the family's 1533-position model. The record is from RNAcentral.
GUGUCAGCCGCCGCGGUAAUACGGAGGGGGCUAGCGUUGUUCGGAAUUACUGGGCGUAAAGCGCGCGUAGGCGGAUUGGAAAGUUGGGGGUGAAAUCCCGGGGCUCAACCCCGGAACUGCCUCCAAAACUAUCAGUCUUGAGUUCGAGAGAGGUGAGUGGAAUUGCGAGUGUAGAGGUGAAAUUCGUAGAUAUUCGCAGGAACACCAGUGGCGAAGGCGGCUCACUGGCUCGAUACUGACGCUGAGGUGCGAAAGUGUGGGGAGCAAACAGGAUUAGAUACCCUGGUAGUCCACACCGUAAACGAUGAAUGCCAGACGUCGGGCAGCAUGCUGUUCGGUGUCACACCUAACGGAUUAAGCAUUCCGCCUGGGGAGUACGGUCGCAAGAUUAAA